RNAcentral lists this ribosomal RNA (459 nucleotides) under uncultured Streptococcus sp. RNAcentral describes it as "partial 16S ribosomal RNA". It matches the Rfam family "Bacterial small subunit ribosomal RNA", at positions 341 to 792 of the family's 1533-position model. The record is from RNAcentral. Lineage: Bacteria; Bacillati; Bacillota; Bacilli; Lactobacillales; Streptococcaceae.
ACGGAAGGCAGCAGUAGGGAAUCUUCGGGAAUGGGGGCAACCCUGGCCGAGCAACGCCGCGUGAGUGAAGAAGGUUUUCGGAUCGUAAAGCUCGGUUGUAAGAGAAGAACGUGUGUGAGAGUGGAAAGUUCACACAGUGACGGUAACUUACCAGAGAGGGACGGCUAACUACGUGCCAGCAGCCGCGGUAAUACGUAGGUCCCGAGCGUUGUCCGGAUUUAUUGGGCGUAAAGCGAGCGCAGGCGGUUUAAUAUGUCUGAAGUUAAAGGCAGUGGCUUAACCAUUGUUCGCUUUGGCAACUGUUAGACUUGAGUGCAGAAGGUGAGAGUGAAAUUCCAUGUGUAGCGGUGAGAUGCGUAGAUAUAUGGAGGAACACCGGUGGCGCAAGCGGCUCUCUGGUCUGUAACUGACGCUGAGGCUCGAAAGCGUGGGGAGCAAACAGGAUUAGAUACACUGGUA